AUAAUACAAGGUGGAGAGGAAAAAAAAGUGUGUAUGUUUGCACAAAAGGACACUGCCUAUAUUUUAAGUCAUAGAUCUUAAUUUGUGAAACUUUUAAUAUCCUACAUUCACAAACACUCAUAGAAACCAUUGCACUCAGAGUGGGCGGGCUUAAAACCCCUCCCACUCACCCAUUGAUUAAACUGAUGUUUCCCAUGGCCAAUCAGAGCAAGAGGUCACCUUUAACGGCCUUUAACCUUUAAUGCAAAUGAGAGGCACACAGGUAACAGGCCAGUCAGUCUUGUGUAAUGAACCUGUACCUAUAGUUAACUGAAGCGUGUCUAUUUUGCUCUGGAGUGAAGAUUAAAGUUUCACCUGGUGGAGCUAAAGUUUUGCUAGCUAACGUUACGUCACCACUCAACGUGAUAAGUAAGCUCAUGCAAACAAGUUAGCUAGCCUGGAUGAUUUAUGACAGUAUUUAUAUAUGACGGGUCAGCCGAUGAAGACUUCCUUUCCUCUCGUUUGCUCUGAUGGCGUGGGAAAACUGACUGAAUCUGUUUAUCUCUGUCGAGGACACGGUCUACUUUUUCUUCGUGAAAUCGUCCCGGACCCUGGAAAGGACUGUGGUGGAAGUGGAAUCCUUCCCUUUAAGACCUGUCCAAGACGGGUGAUCUGUCCAGGAUGUGCAGAUGGAUUAUUCUGGCGUUUGUGUCUUCAGAAUUUCGCUGAUUAUACCAGGCUUUUGUUGCACUUGCAGUGGCGUGUGAUUCCUGGACUUAUAUGUUCCAACCCCUUUUGGCAAGACUUUUUACAUCAAGACCCUGUCUUCUGUCAUGCAUUUGGUUUCCUGUCGCUCUUGGUUCCACUGGUCAUAACAAGAUUCAGAUUUAAUGAAAACAAAACUAAGAGUUUGGUUAAGAUGAGGAGAAUAUCAGCUUCAUGGUUAACAGAAACCAGUGUCAACUGUUGGAUCUACUGCACCUUUUGAAUAAAUUACCAAUAUUGUCGAAACAAUGAAUAUUUGCCUGUGUUUUUAGAUUGUUGAAGUUAACAGAGUUGUCAUUGUUGGUUAUUUUAAUAUUAAAGGUGACAAGGGCUGAGAUGUCAGCAGCUGUUAAGUUGCAAGUUCAAAAGCCUGUCAUCUUGUCAGUCUAAUUGUCAUACGCAGCUUG
Molecule: long non-coding RNA, 1151 nt
Filed under: Dicentrarchus labrax (European seabass)
Lineage: Eukaryota; Metazoa; Chordata; Actinopteri; Moronidae
Description: lncRNA (ENSDLAG00005031951.1)
Source: RNAcentral